AACGAACGCUGGCGGCGUGGAUUAGGCAUGCAAGUCGAACGCGAAAGUGGGAGCAAUCCCGCGAGUAGAGUGGCGAACGGGUGAGUAACGCGUGAAGAACCUGCCUUCAACAGGGGGAUAACACUCCCAACGGGGUGCUAAUACCGCAUGAGACCACGGGUCUGCAUGGACCUGAGGUCAAAGGUGGCCUCUGCUUGCAAGCUACCGGUUGAAGAUGGCUUCGCGUCCCAUUAGCUAGUUGGCGGUGUAAAAGACCACCAAGGCGACGAUGGGUAGCUGGUCUGAGAGGAUGGUCAGCCACAUUGGAACUGAGACACGGUCCAGACUCCUACGGGAGGCAG
RNAcentral lists this ribosomal RNA (341 nucleotides) under uncultured Latescibacterota bacterium. RNAcentral describes it as "bacterial SSU rRNA". It matches the Rfam family "Bacterial small subunit ribosomal RNA", at positions 29 to 351 of the family's 1533-position model. The record is from RNAcentral. Lineage: Bacteria; Pseudomonadati; Candidatus Latescibacterota.